AAGUCGUAACAAGGUUUCCGUAGGUGAACCUGCGGAAGGAUCAUUAACACGUAUAUCGUUUUAAAUCCCUUCAACCCCUCUGUGAACUAAAACAACCUUUUAAACCUAAAUCCUGAGUAUGAUGCGUAAAACCAACUACUUGGGUCGCUCCAGCUUGACUUCUUGGCUUCUGGGCUGCUGUUAGGCGUGCGUUCGCUCUUCUUCGGAAUUUGCGGAUGGCAGGGCGUUACAACCAAAACCCUUGACUAUUAUUACUGAAACCCCCCUAACUUAGGCAGUGUCCGCUUGCGGCCGCUGUCUGGUUAACAAAAAUACAAAAACAACUCUUAACAACGGAUAUCUUGGUUCUC
Molecule: unclassified non-coding RNA, 350 nt
Filed under: fungal sp.
Lineage: Eukaryota; Fungi
Description: partial internal transcribed spacer region
Rfam family: Eukaryotic small subunit ribosomal RNA (bases 1-46)
Source: RNAcentral